GAUGAACGCUGACAGAAUGCUUAACACAUGCAAGUCGAUGGGGAAGUGGUGCUUGCACCAUGGCAACCAUGGCGGACGGGUGAGUAACGCGUAAGGGACUUACCUGCAGGACUGGGAUAACAGGGGGAAACUCCUGACAAGACAGGAUAAUGUAAUGGAGCUGCAUGGCUUUAUGAUGAAAAGAGACGCCUGGGGAGAGCCUUGCGUCCUAUUAGCGAGUUGGUGAGGUAAUGGCUCACGAAGGCGAAGAUAGGUGGCCGGCCUGAGAGGGUGGACGGCCACAAGGGGUACGAGAUGCGGCAGUUACGCCUACGGGGGGCAGGAGGGGAGAAUAUUGGACAAGGGGGGCAACACUGAUCCAGCAAUUCUGUGUGCAAGAAGAAGGUUUUCGGAUUGAAAAGUGCUUUCAGCAGGGAAGAAGUAAGUGACGGUACCUGCAGAAGAAGCGACGGCUAAAUACGUG
This 463-nucleotide ribosomal RNA is filed under the name uncultured bacterium. RNAcentral describes it as "partial 16S ribosomal RNA". It matches the Rfam family "Bacterial small subunit ribosomal RNA", at positions 28 to 507 of the family's 1533-position model. The record is from RNAcentral.